This 486-nucleotide ribosomal RNA is filed under the name uncultured bacterium. RNAcentral's name for it is "partial 16S ribosomal RNA". It matches the Rfam family "Bacterial small subunit ribosomal RNA", at positions 29 to 507 of the family's 1533-position model. The record is from RNAcentral.
AUUGAACGCUGGCGGCAUGCCUUACACAUGCAAGUCGAACGGCAGCACGGGAGCUGGCACCUGGUGGCGAGGGGCGGACGGGGGAGGAAUACAUCGGCACAGGUCCUGUAGUUGGGGAUGGCGCGGCGAAAGCCGGAUUAAUACCGCAUACGAUCUACGGCUGAGAGCGGGAGACCUUCGGCCUUGGCCCUAUAGGGUUGGCCGAUGGCGGAUUAGCUAGUUGGUGGGGUAAAGGCCUACCAAGGCGACGAUCCGUAGCUGGUCUGAGAGGACGACCAGCCACACUGGAACUGAGACACGGCCCAGACUCCUACGGGAGGCAGCAGUGGGGAAUUUUGGACAAUGGGCGCAAGCCUGAUCCAGCAAUGCCGCGUGUGUGAAGAAGGCCUUCGGGUUGUAAAGCCCUUUUGUCCGGAAAGAAAACCUUCGCGCUAAUACCGUCGUGGGAUGACGGUACCGAAAGAAUAAGCACCGGCUAACUACGUG